Molecule: long non-coding RNA, 298 nt
Organism: Bactrocera tryoni
Lineage: Eukaryota; Metazoa; Arthropoda; Insecta; Diptera; Tephritidae
Exons: 3
Source: RefSeq, a predicted model, not a curated record
CUUGGCGUAGCGAGCCUUACGCCACUGGUCGGUUGGGGAGAGAAAAUGUUAUCAAUUUGCGCCCAGGUGUAACAAGAUUUGCAUCAAGCCGGGUAAAUAACAUUCGGGAUUCAUUUCUGCUACUUUUUCCAUCUUCACUAUCAAAAAUUAUAAUUGAAAAUUCGAACAACUACGGAAAGUAUUUACAUGGAUCCAACCACCUAGAAAUUGACGAGGAAUUAUUUCAUGCCUACUUAGGCAUAUUAUUACUGGCCGGUGUGUAUAAAUCCAAAAAUGAAACUUUGCAUGAUUUGUUUGA